This 250-nucleotide ribosomal RNA is filed under the name uncultured prokaryote. RNAcentral describes it as "partial 16S ribosomal RNA". It matches the Rfam family "Bacterial small subunit ribosomal RNA", at positions 524 to 774 of the family's 1533-position model. The record is from RNAcentral.
UACGUAGGGAGCAAGCGUUAUCCGAAUUUAUUGGGUGUAAAGCGUGUGUAGGCGGUUUAUUAAGUCCAAGGUAUAAGCCCGAAGCUUAACUUCGGUUUGCCUUGGAAACUGAUUUACUUGAGUGUGGUAGAGGCAAGUGGAAUUUCUAGUGUAGCGGUAAAAUGCUUAGAUAUUAGAAGGAACACCAGUGGCGAAGGCGACUUGCUGGGCCAUUACUGACGCUGAGGCACGAAAGCGUGGGGAGCAAAUA